Molecule: long non-coding RNA, 211 nt
Filed under: Lathyrus oleraceus (garden pea)
Lineage: Eukaryota; Viridiplantae; Streptophyta; Magnoliopsida; Fabales; Fabaceae
Description: Pisum sativum (pea) long non-coding RNA (PSAT_LNC022030)
Source: RNAcentral
UUUUAUUCAAUUUUUCAUUUUUGUUUUGUUAGGGUUUGCUUAGGGUUUUGAAUCUUGACCUUAUGGUUUUGAAUUCUAACUUAGUUGUUUUGAUUCUAACUUUGUUUUCUUUAUGAUAGUUUAAUCUUUUAUUGAGUUCAAAAGUGAUUUAAUUUCUUCAAGAGUGAUUAAGGUUAAUAUUUUCAACAUAGGUUCAUGAUUUAAAUCGCAG